RNAcentral lists this ribosomal RNA (1169 nucleotides) under Candidatus Phytoplasma hispanicum. Its description in RNAcentral is "bacterial SSU rRNA". It matches the Rfam family "Bacterial small subunit ribosomal RNA", at positions 173 to 1348 of the family's 1533-position model. Lineage: Bacteria; Bacillati; Mycoplasmatota; Mollicutes; Acholeplasmatales; Acholeplasmataceae. RNAcentral also lists the same sequence under 1 other name. The record is from RNAcentral.
AGACAAGAAGGCAUCUUCUUGUUUUUAAAAGACCUAGCAAUAGGUAUGCUUAGGGAGGAGCUUGCGUCACAUUAGUUAGUUGGUGGGGUAAAGGCCUACCAAGACUAUGAUGUGUAGCCGGGCUGAGAGGUUGAACGGCCACAUUGGGACUGAGACACGGCCCAAACUCCUACGGGAGGCAGCAGUAGGGAAUUUUCGGCAAUGGAGGAAACUCUGACCGAGCAACGCCGCGUGAACGAUGAAGUAUUUCGGUACGUAAAGUUCUUUUAUUAGGGAAGAAUAAAUGAUGGAAAAAUCAUUCUGACGGUACCUAAUGAAUAAGCCCCGGCUAACUAUGUGCCAGCAGCCGCGGUAAUACAUAGGGGGCAAGCGUUAUCCGGAAUUAUUGGGCGUAAAGGGUGCGUAGGCGGUUAAAUAAGUUUAUGGUCUAAGUGCAAUGCUCAACAUUGUGAUGCUAUAAAAACUGUUUAGCUAGAGUAAGAUAGAGGCAAGUGGAAUUCCAUGUGUAGUGGUAAAAUGCGUAAAUAUAUGGAGGAACACCAGUAGCGAAGGCGGCUUGCUGGGUCUUUACUGACGCUGAGGCACGAAAGCGUGGGGAGCAAACAGGAUUAGAUACCCUGGUAGUCCACGCCGUAAACGAUGAGUACUAAACGUUGGGUAAAACCAGUGUUGAAGUUAACACAUUAAGUACUCCGCCUGAGUAGUACGUACGCAAGUAUGAAACUUAAAGGAAUUGACGGGACUCCGCACAAGCGGGGAUCAUGUUGUUUAAUUCGAAGGUACCCGAAAAACCUCACCAGGUCUUGACAUGCUUCUGCAAAGCUGUAGAAACAUAGUGGAGGUUAUCAGUGGCACAGGUGGUGCAUGGUUGUCGUCAGCUCGUGUCGUGAGAUGUUAGGUUAAGUCCUAAAACGAGCGCAACCCCUUUUGUUAGUUACCAGCACGUAAUGGUGGGGACUUUAGCGAUACUGCCAAUUAAAAAUUGGAGGAAGGUGGGGAUGACGUCAAAUCAUCAUGCCCCUUAUGACCUGGGCUACAAACGUGAUACAAUGGCCGUUACAAAGAGUAGCUGAAGCGCGAGUUCUUGGCCAAUCUCAAAAAAACGGUCUCAGUUCGGAUUGAAGUCUGCAACUCGACUUCAUGAAGCUGGAAUCGCUAGUAAUCGCGAA